UGGGGAAUAUUGGACAAUGGGCGGAAGCCUGAUCCAGCAACGCCGCGUGAGGGAUGACGGCCUUCGGGUUGUAAACCUCUUUCAGUACCGACGAAGCGGAAGUGACGGUAGGUACAGAAGAAGCACCGGCCAACUACGUGCCAGCAGCCGCGGUAAUACGUAGGGUGCGAGCGUUGUCCGGAAUUAUUGGGCGUAAAGGGCUCGUAGGCGGUUUGUCGCGUCGGGAGUGAAAACACUGGGCUUAACUCAGUGCUUGCUUCCGAUACGGGCAGACUAGAGGCAUGCAGGGGAGAACGGAAUUCCUGGUGUAGCGGUGAAAUGCGCAGAUAUCAGGAGGAACACCGGUGGCGAAGGCGGUUCUCUGGGCAUGUCCUGACGCUGAGGAGCGAAAAGUGUGGGGAGCGAACAGGAUUAGAUACCCUGGUAGUCCACACCGUAAAACGUUGGGCGCUAGGUGUGGGGCCUAUUCCAUGGGUUCCGUGCCGCAGCUAACGCAUUAAGCGCCCCGCCUGGGGAGUACGGCCGCAAGGCUAAAAACUCAAAUGAAUUGACGGGGUCAUAGCUGUUUCCU
RNAcentral lists this ribosomal RNA (571 nucleotides) under uncultured bacterium. RNAcentral describes it as "partial 16S ribosomal RNA". It matches the Rfam family "Bacterial small subunit ribosomal RNA", at positions 355 to 1375 of the family's 1533-position model. The record is from RNAcentral.